Long non-coding RNA from Carya illinoinensis, 724 nucleotides. RefSeq lists it as uncharacterized. The record is from RefSeq and is a predicted model, not a curated record. The transcript has 2 exons. NCBI's taxonomy places the organism in Eukaryota, Viridiplantae, Streptophyta, Magnoliopsida, Fagales, Juglandaceae.
UAGUUUGGCAGUAUGCUAGCCCUUUUCUCCAUAAAUUUUCUAAACUUCAAAUUCGAUUAGCUAUUGCCAUUGUUGCUAAAAGCAGAUGCAAUUUUUUUUUUACCUUGCACAUACUAUUAACCCAUUAAUAAAAAUAUGUGAUAAUAAUGUUCAGUUUUUUAUUUUUCAGAAUCAAUCAUGUCAGCAUCAUCAUCUGUACUUAAUGAUAAUGUCUUGGAAUCUCCAACUUGUUGGUGUGGUUUGAAAACACCACUAAAGACAUCUCACACGUCGAAAAAUCCCGGAAGGAGAUUUUUCGCUUGCCCAAACUAUAAAACGGGAGAAGCAAGGUGUGAAUUUUUUGUAUGGGCCGAUAUACUUCAUUUGCUAGAGGAUAAUUUUCGUGCCCGUGAGAAUAAGGCGACAAGUAUUUCGUGGAAUGAAGUAUUACAGCGCGAGUAUGCCGUUCGGAAACGAGAAGAUAAAGUGAGAGAAAUGGCAAAGAAUCUGAAAAAGAAAAAGCGAAAACUUUUGAUUUUCUACUGGAUUCUGACAUUUGUAAUAGUGUUUAUUUGGUUUGGAUAAAUACUAUGUAAAGUAGUUGGGCGAACUCUUUUGGGUUUUGCAUGGUUCUUUUGAGGUGCACAUGGUUUGUGGAUCAAGACCAUGUAUGUAAAUUGUAUGGUGUUAACCUAUAAGACUGUGACGAACUUUUGUGCAAUUAAAUUAAUUUUGGUAGACUUUA